UUUGGGAAUGAGUGUUUCGGGAUAAAUUUCGAAAUUUAAAAAUAUCGGAUUACGUGAUCUGGAGUACACUAAAAAAAAGGUAUUUCGGAAUAAGUGUUUCUUAAUCUCGUCUUCCUGCUCAGGUUCUCUGGUCUCCAGAGCCACCGUGUCUACAUGUCCAGCUGCGGCGAGCUCGCGAUGACCUUGUGGAUGCUGUCACGGUGUAUUUAAGUUCAAGAUUGCAGGGAAAAAAAUGGGGGUGCAGGAAGAAAUCACUCUAACCAUAUCUGAAAUUAUUUGGGCUGGCUCGCCAUAAUUUUUUUUUUUUCUGAAAAAUGUGUGUAAGAAAAAGUCCUUGUUAAGUAAACACCAAAAAAAAGGGUUUUGUUCGUCUCCAAAAUUUUCUAAAUAUCCUAAGUGACCUUCUUUGAUUUUAAUUAGGUAAAAACAUAAUUACUUCCUCUCUUUAUUUAUUUGUUCACUAACCCUGACUCCUUCUUUCGAGUUCCUACACCCCCAAAAACACAAACAUUCCUUCCUCUAUCUCUUCCACCCGUCCUCUUCUUCACGCAACACUCUAAGUUUCAUAU
Molecule: long non-coding RNA, 569 nt
Filed under: Vigna radiata
Lineage: Eukaryota; Viridiplantae; Streptophyta; Magnoliopsida; Fabales; Fabaceae
Description: long non-coding RNA (VRAD_LNC009381)
Source: RNAcentral